Molecule: ribosomal RNA, 247 nt
Filed under: uncultured bacterium
Lineage: Bacteria
Description: partial small subunit ribosomal RNA
Rfam family: Bacterial small subunit ribosomal RNA
Source: RNAcentral
AGAAUCAACGCUGGCGGCGUGCCUAACACAUGCAAGUCGAACGAGAAAGGGACUUCGGUCCUGAGUACAGUGGCGCACGGGUGAGUAACACGUGACUAACCCUACCCUGGAGUGGGGAAUAACUGAGGGAAACCUUAGCUAAUACCGCAUAAUACCUACGGGUCAAAGGAGUAAUUCGCUUCAGGAGGGGGUCGCGGCCGAUUAGCUAGUUGGCGGGGUAAUGGCCCACCAAGGCAAUGAUCGGUAU